CUGGUGAUGUCAACCCUCUGUCAUCUGAGCUGCAUCUCAUGUGAGGGACAGAGCCUUCCCAAACCCAGAAGCUGGUGGCAUCAAGCUCAUGGGAUGCUUAAGUCUAUACCACGCAAUCCACAAAGAUGGACUAAUUCCAGAGGAAGUCAAGCAAAGACUGUGUCACAACUAUUAACCCAAUUUUAAAGAUGCUCCAAACUGCUGCCAGCGUGUACUUUAUAUAAUGGUGCCUUAACUCCAGCUGCAGACAUUUCUUACUGCGGCAGUCCUUUCAAGAAACAACCUCCCCAGAAAUAUGGGAAAACUUUCCCAUGGAAAAACAACAACAAUAAUAAUAACCAACAAAAAACCACCAACAACAAAGCAAGCAGCCAACAGCUGAAACCCUCCUCUAAGUAACAUUCCGGCCAUAAAUAAAGUCAUGAUUCUUAAAAGAACAGGAAACAAACAGGUGUUGAUAGGGUUUUUGCCAUAAUUCAGAAACGCCCACAUCUUGGUUCACUGUGGAUGGGCCAGGAACACCUCAGCAAUCUCCCAGAGUUUCCUUUUUGGGCUUUGGCUGCAGAACUGAGUAAAACAUGAGCAAUUGCACCAGUGAACUCCAGAGCUAAGAGUAUGACCUGUUGUAAUCUGUGCCAAGAGCUCCUGGCUGGGUAGAGACAGACUUUCAUUCAUGAAGUGAGCACAGAAGGAAUCUCAAGACAGACUCAUGAGGAGACAGUGAGGGCCUAGGGAAAAAAUAUAAUAAUCUCAUUUCGGCCCUCUCAGAGAUCUGGACAUGUGAAGGGACACCUCCAUGAGGGCUGUGAGCAGUCAGAGAUGCUGCCAGCAUUGCAUUCUUGAGCUUUCAGCCCAAUAAACUGUUUCAUAAGCUGGCAGAAAAAUAAAGCUCAGAGGGACUGGAAGAGGUCACCCCUGUCAUCUUUGCUGCCCCCUGACAGGAACAGUGCAGCAAAUACCAGAUCUGAGAGGACAGCUUUGAAACUUCUUGGGCAGACAGAAGCAGAAGCAAGCAAAUAAACAACAACUAAAGAGGAAAACAAGGAAGUUGGCUUUUUUUUUUUUUUUUUUU
Molecule: non-coding RNA, 1072 nt
Organism: Coturnix japonica (Japanese quail)
Lineage: Eukaryota; Metazoa; Chordata; Aves; Galliformes; Phasianidae
Source: RefSeq, a predicted model, not a curated record